This 68-nucleotide small nuclear RNA is filed under the name Cervus elaphus hippelaphus. It matches the Rfam family "U5 spliceosomal RNA", at positions 1 to 68 of the family's 117-position model. Rfam says of the family: U5 RNA is a component of both types of known spliceosome. The precise function of this molecule is unknown, though it is known that the 5' loop is required for splice site selection and p220 binding, and that both the 3' stem-loop and the Sm site are important for Sm protein binding and cap methylation. The record is from RNAcentral. Lineage: Eukaryota; Metazoa; Chordata; Mammalia; Artiodactyla; Cervidae.
AUACUCUGGUUUCCCUUCAGAUCAUAUAAAUCUUUUACCUUUUGCUAAAGAUUUCUGUGGACAGAGAC